GCCCAGGUGGCGGAAUUGGUAGACGCGCUAGCUUGAGGGGCUAGUCCCGAUUUUUCCGGGGUGGAGGUUCAAGUCCUCUCCUGGGCACCA
RNAcentral lists this transfer RNA (90 nucleotides) under Candidatus Peregrinibacteria bacterium. RNAcentral's name for it is "tRNA-Leu". It matches the Rfam family "tRNA". From Rfam's summary of the family: Transfer RNA (tRNA) molecules are approximately 80 nucleotides in length. Lineage: Bacteria; Candidatus Peregrinibacteriota. The record is from RNAcentral.